RNAcentral lists this ribosomal RNA (539 nucleotides) under actinobacterium TH-N3. RNAcentral's name for it is "bacterial SSU rRNA". It matches the Rfam family "Bacterial small subunit ribosomal RNA", at positions 46 to 599 of the family's 1533-position model. Lineage: Bacteria; Bacillati; Actinomycetota; Actinomycetes. The record is from RNAcentral.
GCUUAACACAUGCAAGUCGAACGAUGAAGCCCAGCUUGCUGGUGGAUUAGUGGCGAACGGGUGAGUAACACGUGAGUAACCUGCCCUUAACUCUGGGAUAAGCCUGGGAAACUGGGUCUAAUACCGGAUAGGAGCGUCCACCGCAUGGUGGGUGUUGGAAAGAUUUAUCGGUUUUGGAUGGACUCGCGGCCUAUCAGCUUGUUGGUGAGGUAAUGGCUCACCAAGGCGACGACGGGUAGCCGGCCUGAGAGGGUGACCGGCCACACUGGGACUGAGACACGGCCCAGACUCCUACGGGAGGCAGCAGUGGGGAAUAUUGCACAAUGGGCGCAAGCCUGAUGCAGCGACGCCGCGUGAGGGAUGACGGCCUUCGGGUUGUAAACCUCUUUCAGUAGGGAAGAAGCGAAAGUGACGGUACCUUGCAGAAGAAGCACCGGCUAACUACGUGCCAGCAGCCGCGUAAUACGUAGGGUGCGAGCGUUAUCCGGAAUUAUUGGGCGUAAAGAGCUCGUAGGCGGUUUGUCGCGUCUGUCGUGAAA